CUACGGGGUGCACCAGUGAGGAAUAUUGCACAAUGGGGGGAACCCUGAUGCAGCAACGCCGCGUGGAGGAUGACGCAUUUCGGUGUGUAAACUCCUUUUAUAUGUCAAGAAAAUGACGGUAGCAUAUGAAUAAGCACCGGCUAACUCCGCUGCCAGCGCCGCGGUAAUACGGAGGGUGCAAGCGUUACUCGGAAUCACUGGGCGUAAAGGACGCGUAGGCGGGUUGGAAAGUCAGGUGUGAAAUCCUACAGCUUAACUGUAGAACUGCACUUGAAACUUCUAAUCUAGAGUAUGGGAGGGGGAGAUGGAAUUAGUGGUGUAGGGGUAAAAUCCGUAGAUAUCACUAGGAAUACCUAAAGCGAAGGCGAUCUCCUGGAACAUUACUGACGCUAAGGCGUGAAAGCGUGGGGAGCAAACAGGAUUAGAUACCCCCGUAGUC
Molecule: ribosomal RNA, 439 nt
Filed under: uncultured bacterium
Lineage: Bacteria
Description: partial 16S ribosomal RNA
Rfam family: Bacterial small subunit ribosomal RNA
Source: RNAcentral